Molecule: ribosomal RNA, 321 nt
Filed under: uncultured bacterium
Lineage: Bacteria
Description: bacterial SSU rRNA
Rfam family: Bacterial small subunit ribosomal RNA
Source: RNAcentral
GACGAACGCUGGCGGCGUGCUUAACACAUGCAAGUCGAGCGGUAAGGCCCUUUCGGGGGUACACGAGCGGCGAACGGGUGGGUAACACGUGGGUGACCUGCCCUUAGCUCUGGGAUAAGCCUGGGAAACUGGGUCUAAUACCGGAUAUGACUCCAUGACGCAUGUUGUGGGGUGGAAAGCCCUGUGCGGCUAGGGAUGGGGCCCGCGGCCUAUCAGCUUGUUGGUGGGGUGAUGGCCUACCAAGGCGACGACGGGUAGCCGGCCUGAGAGGGCGACCGGCCACACUGGGACUGAGACACGGCCCAGACUCCUACGGGAGGC